RNAcentral lists this non-coding RNA (22 nucleotides) under Arabidopsis thaliana (thale cress). The record is from RNAcentral. Lineage: Eukaryota; Viridiplantae; Streptophyta; Magnoliopsida; Brassicales; Brassicaceae.
AUCUCUACACACUAGCCGUGAC